Molecule: ribosomal RNA, 435 nt
Filed under: uncultured Chloroflexota bacterium
Lineage: Bacteria; Bacillati; Chloroflexota
Description: bacterial SSU rRNA
Rfam family: Bacterial small subunit ribosomal RNA
Source: RNAcentral
AGCGUGUGGUUUAAUUCGAUGCAACGCGAAGAACCUUACAGGGUUUGACAUGCUUAAAGUAGAAACUCGAAAGAGGGACGACCUGUAUCCAGUCAGGAGUUUUGCACAGGUGCUGCAUGGCUGUCGUCAGCUCGUGCCGUGAGGUGUUAGGUUAAGUCCUGCAACGAGCGCAACCCUCGUCGCUAGUUGUUUUCUCUAGCGAUACUGCCCGUAUAACGUGGAGGAAGGUGGGGAUGACGUCAAGUCAGCAUGGCCCUUACAUCCUGGGCUACACACACGCUACAAUGGGUGAUACAACAGGUUGCAAUAGAGUAAUCUGGAGCUAAUCCCUAAAAUCAUCCUCAGUACGGAUUGCAGGCUGAAACUGCCUGCAUGAAGUUGGAGUUGCUAGUAAACGCAGGUCAGCACACUGCGUUGAAUACGUUCCCGGGGCUU